RNAcentral lists this ribosomal RNA (497 nucleotides) under uncultured bacterium. Its description in RNAcentral is "partial 16S ribosomal RNA". It matches the Rfam family "Bacterial small subunit ribosomal RNA", at positions 28 to 507 of the family's 1533-position model. The record is from RNAcentral.
GAUGAACGCUGGCGGCGUGCCUAAUACAUGCAAGUCGAGCGAACAGACGAGGAGCUUGCUCCUCUGACGUUAGCGGCGGACGGGUGAGUAACACGUGGAGAACCUACCUAUAAGACUGGGAUAAAUUCGGGAAACCGGAGCUAAUACCGGAUAAUAUAUUCAACCACAUGGUUCAAGAGUGAAAGACGGUUUUGCUGGUAAUUGUAGAUUAAGCCGCGCCGCAGUAGCAAGUUGGUAAGGUAACGGCUUACCAAGGCAACGAUGCGUAGCCGCCCUGAGAGGGUGAUCGGCCACACUGGAACUGAGACACGGUCCAGACUCCUACGGGAGGCAGCAGUAGGGAAUCUUCCGCAAUGGGCGAAAGCCUGACGGAGCAACGCCGCGUGAGUGAUGAAGGUCUUCGGAUCGUAAAACUCUGUUAUUAGGGAAGAACAAAUGUGUAAGUAACUAUGCACGUCUUGACGGUACCUAAUCAGAAAGCCACGGCUAACUACGUG